AGAUCAGAGUUCAAAUCACGACGAAGAGUGUAAACUUUAAGUUUACCAAAUGCAAAGCCUAUUAUUCCAAUUAAGCAUACAAAACCUGGCACCCCAACUCCAAUUAUAAUGCCAUAUUUGGCUCCUCUUGGAAGUCCUUUAGAAGGAGGAGGAUUUGAACAAGCAAUAUCAGAUCCAGUAUCACUCUUAAAAGCACAAAGUUUCCCUUGAUUUUCACAAAUCCUGCAACUUGGUUCACUCCAAGUUAACACAAGACCUUCCAUUGGAGACCAAAACUGCGAAUCUUCCAAUUGCAGAGGAACAGAAACUCUAGAAUUAAUCAAUUUACAACCAACUGGUUUUUCUUGCUCAUAGAUACUCGGCGGCAUCGCCAAAAUCGCCUCAUUUCUGCUCGUAACUCCCCGGCAAUACAACGGAAUCGCUACCUGAUAAUUU
Molecule: unclassified non-coding RNA, 435 nt
Filed under: Hevea brasiliensis (rubber tree)
Lineage: Eukaryota; Viridiplantae; Streptophyta; Magnoliopsida; Malpighiales; Euphorbiaceae
Source: RNAcentral